GGAUGGAUCAACGCCGCCAAGUGAGAGAAACCAAUCAGCUUCAUUUUCAACUUCUUCUAUGACUCCAGAGGAUUCACUUUGCAUCUUGUGACAAAUGAAGAUAUUACCUGGAAAAAAAAAAAAGACAGGAUAGAUGAGUUGCUGCACAGGGGGAAAGCGAAGUUCCCAGGAGUAAGAUGUGCAAGAAGGAGGCAGUCUUGCAUCUCAGGGCUGAUUCCCUAAACUCUGUGCUUGAGGGAAGUUCUCCCCUUGCAGACACACUGCUGAGUGACAAGGAAGCGCCUAGACUCCACUCUGACCAGACUUGGUUCUGAGGCCUAUGAAAUGUUGAUGGGAAGAACAGAAGCAGGAAAAUCUAUCUAUUCAAAUUUGCAAGAGGUGGAAACUUUUAUUCACCUUCCUGGAUAGACUGUUCCUUUGUCAAAGUAAAGCUAAGGCCAUGGAAAAUGAGCUAUUUGAGAGUCUGUCGCUCCAAGGAAGAACAUGCUGGCCUAAUUGUCCCCCAAGUCAGGAGAGAGAAUUGUAAAAAGCACUUAAACAGGCCUAAGUAAAAGUCCAGCACAUUAUUCAUUUAAGACUGAAUUAGGACUGAGUCAUUCCAACUGAAAAAAGAGUGUUGUUGGAUUCUUAUAUAUUCGAUGGGUCUGCCCUAUUGAAAACCAUUGUGAAGUCUGGUUUCCCAAGCAAGAAGUGACACUUUCACUGUCAGUCUUUCUAGGAAUCUGGCAGAAUCCAGGACUAGGAUUACCCUUAUUUAUGAAGCGACCUUAGACUAACAGUGGCUCUCUGGGCCUGCAGACAAUUGGCCAGGGACUCUAAAAACCAGAAACAAAGUUGAGAGAACUCCAGGCUGGUGGAGAAAAACAGCUGGCGUUUAUUACCACAAUGAGCCCCAUAGAAGCAACAAAGCAGCAAGCGAUGUUCUUAAACAAGGGCCUGUGGGCCUUGUCAAGAUCUGGAGGAGUCAUCUACAACUCACUGCUGAGUGAGAGGGCUAGGCAGUGUCUUUAAGGUCCUGCCAGCUUUAACACUGUAUGCUUUUUCUUUUGUUCAAUCUCUCACCACAACUGGAAGUGUUGCCUCAACUACACAGGAAAAGUUUGCAGUAACUUAGAGAAAACAUUAUUUUAAUCACCAGUGUAUGUUCUCCGGCUCCCUGGACAAAUCCAUCAGCAGCGGCAACACUGACCAGGUCCAGACUGGGGCCACUGCAGUGGAUGUGAAUCCAUUGAAACCAGGGGUCUCCAGUGCUCCUGA
RNAcentral lists this non-coding RNA (1257 nucleotides) under Pongo abelii (Sumatran orangutan). The record is from RNAcentral. Lineage: Eukaryota; Metazoa; Chordata; Mammalia; Primates; Hominidae.